Molecule: ribosomal RNA, 254 nt
Filed under: uncultured bacterium
Lineage: Bacteria
Description: partial 16S ribosomal RNA
Rfam family: Bacterial small subunit ribosomal RNA
Source: RNAcentral
UACGAAGGGGGCUAGCGUUGUUCGGAAUUACUGGGCGUAAAGCGCGCGCAGGCGGUCUUCCAAGUCAGUGGUGAAAGCCCGGAGCUCAACUCCGGAACUGCCAUUGAAACUGUGAGACUGGAGUACGAGAGAGGUGAGUGGAAAUUCCCAGUGUAGAGGUGAAAUUCGUAGAUAUUGGGAAGAACACCGGUGGCGAAGGCGGCUCACUGGCUCGUAACUGACGCUCAGGCGCGACAGCGUGGGGAUCAAACAGG